Centruroides sculpturatus (bark scorpion) is the source of this 511-nucleotide long non-coding RNA. RefSeq lists it as uncharacterized. Lineage: Eukaryota; Metazoa; Arthropoda; Arachnida; Scorpiones; Buthidae. The transcript is spliced from 4 exons. The record is from RefSeq and is a predicted model, not a curated record.
CUACUGUUUCCUCUAUCUCUCGAUUGGUCCUAAGUUUUAUUUAUUUAUUGUACGUGACCGUUAGAAUUAGAGAAACGUGUUUGCUAGUUUAUCGAAUUUGCAGAGAAGUCACGACUGUCCGAUCUUUAAGCAAUUGGUUGUAUUUUCUAUUGGCAAGUUCACAACAAAAAUCCCAAGAGUUUAAAAUAAACAAGUACCACGAAGCACAGCUUUGAAUAAAUCACAGGAAAAAACAGAUGCAAAAGGUGAACUGCGAGUUGUACACGAGUUUUGCUUUAUUGAUGAUAUCAGCUGAAAAACAUUUACUGCUGUUUAGUUUUUUAAAUAAAUAAACGAGUAAAGAUCAUCCUGGAAAGUUGCGAGUUAUAUGGGAGUUUUGCUUUAUUGAUGAUACGGCGAUUACAAACAUGUACAACCAUUCACUUCUUUAAAUAAAUAAACAUAAACAUAUUUAAUAUAAUAUAAUUUUAUACAUUAUGAAAGAUUAUAAUAUCAUUUGCUGUAAUAUAUA